UACGUAGGGCGCAAGCGUUGUCCGGAAUUAUUGGGCGUAAAGCGCACGUAGGCGGCUUCUUAAGUCGGUGGUGAAAUCCUGGAGCUCAACUCCAGAACUGCCUUCGAUACUGGGAAGCUCGAGUCCGGGAGGGGUGAGUGGAACUGCGAGUGUAGAGGUGAAAUUCGUAGAUAUUCGCAAGAACACCAGUGGCGAAGGCGGCUCACUGGCCCGGUACUGACGCUGAGGUGCGAAAGCGUGGGGAGCAAACAGG
RNAcentral lists this ribosomal RNA (253 nucleotides) under uncultured bacterium. RNAcentral's name for it is "partial 16S ribosomal RNA". It matches the Rfam family "Bacterial small subunit ribosomal RNA", at positions 524 to 776 of the family's 1533-position model. The record is from RNAcentral.